RNAcentral lists this ribosomal RNA (492 nucleotides) under uncultured bacterium. RNAcentral's name for it is "partial 16S ribosomal RNA". It matches the Rfam family "Bacterial small subunit ribosomal RNA", at positions 29 to 507 of the family's 1533-position model. The record is from RNAcentral.
AGUGAACGCUGGCGGUAGGCCUAACACAUGCAAGUCGAACGGCAGCACAGUAAGAGCUUGCUCUUACGGGUGGCGAGUGGCGGACGGAUGAGGAAUACAUCGGAAUCUACUUUUUCGUGGGGGAUAACGUAGGGAAACUUACGCUAAUACCGCAUACGACCUACGGGUGAAAGCAGGGGAUCUUCGGACCUUGCGCGAUUGAAUGAGCCGAUGUCGGAUUAGCUAGUUGGCGGGGUAAAGACCCACCAAGGCGACGAUCCGUAGCUGGUCUGAGAGGAUGAUCAGCCACACUGGGACUGAGACACGGUCCAGACUCCUACGGGAGGCAGCAGUGGGGAAUAUUGGACAAUGGGCGCAAGCCUGAUCCAGCCAUACCGCGUGGGUGAAGAAGGCCUUCGGGUUGUAAAGCCCUUUUGUUGGGAAAGAAAAGCAGCAGGUUAAUACCCCGCUGUUCUGACGGUACCCAAAGAAUAAGCACCGGCUAACUUCGUG